RNAcentral lists this non-coding RNA (45 nucleotides) under Schistosoma mattheei. The record is from RNAcentral. Lineage: Eukaryota; Metazoa; Platyhelminthes; Trematoda; Strigeidida; Schistosomatidae.
AUGCAGCUGAUGAGUUCCAAAUAGGACGAACCAUGUGUCCUGGAU